Molecule: non-coding RNA, 785 nt
Filed under: Drosophila simulans
Lineage: Eukaryota; Metazoa; Arthropoda; Insecta; Diptera; Drosophilidae
Description: Eukaryotic large subunit ribosomal RNA
Rfam family: Eukaryotic large subunit ribosomal RNA
Source: Rfam by way of RNAcentral
CGCCACUGUGGUGGAUUCGAGUUUUCUUUUCUGUUUUAUAGCCGUACUACCAUGGAAGUCUUUCGCAGAGAGAUAUGGUAGAUGGGCUAGAAGAGCAUGACAUAUACUGUUGUGUCGAUAUUUUCUCCUCGGACCUUGAAAAUUUAUGGUGGGGACACGCAAACUUCUCAACAGGCCGUACCAAUAUCCGCAGCUGGUCUCCAAGGUGAAGAGUCUCUAGUCGAUAGAAUAAUGUAGGUAAGGGAAGUCGGCAAAUUAGAUCCGUAACUUCGGGAUAAGGAUUGGCUCUGAAGAUUGAGAUAGUCGGGCUUGAUUGGGAAACAAUAACAUGGUUUAUGUGCUCGUUCUGGGUAAAUAGAGUUUCUAGCAUUUAUGUUAGUUACUUGUUCCCCGGAUAGUUUAGUUACGUAGCCAAUUGUGGAACUUUCUUGCUAAAAUUUUUAAGAAUACUAUUUGGGUUAAACCAAUUAGUUCUUAUCAAUUAUAACGAUUAUCAAUUAACAAUCAAUUCAGAACUGGCACGGACUUGGGGAAUCCGACUGUCUAAUUAAAACAAAGCAUUGUGAUGGCCCUAGCGGGUGUUGACACAAUGUGAUUUCUGCCCAGUGCUCUGAAUGUCAAAGUGAAGAAAUUCAAGUAAGCGCGGGUCAACGGCGGGAGUAACUAUGACUCUCUUAAGGUAGCCAAAUGCCUCGUCAUCUAAUUAGUGACGCGCAUGAAUGGAUUAACGACGGACGUGUUUUCGUUGCGCUCGUGUACAGAUUGCGAAGAACUUUGUUUUCCGU